This 632-nucleotide ribosomal RNA is filed under the name Tristichotrochus unicus. Its description in RNAcentral is "Calliostoma unicum partial 12S rRNA". The stretch from base 211 to 632 matches the Rfam family "Bacterial small subunit ribosomal RNA", at positions 874 to 1384 of the family's 1533-position model. The record is from RNAcentral. Lineage: Eukaryota; Metazoa; Mollusca; Gastropoda; Trochida; Calliostomatidae.
GACAAACGGAUCGAGUUAAGAUUUAUUUAGUAAAAAAGGAGGUUGGAAAAGUAUGUAUUGGAAAUCUGCUUUUUUUUAUAGAGGUGAAAUUUGUAUAAAAAUGGUUAGUCUUUUGUUUUCUUAAUUUUUGAUGCCUCGAAAGUUUAGUGUAAGACCGGGAUUAGAUACCCCGUUAUUGAUCCUGUAAACUUUAAUUAAUUGUGAUUUACUUGGGUAUUACGGGUUGGAGUGAAUUUUGUUAGUAGCUUGCAUAUGCUUAAAACCCAAAAAACUUGGCGGUGCCUUAAUUCUUUCCGGGGGAACCUGUCCUUUAAUCGAUGGUCCACGAUUUAGCUUACCUUGUUUUGAAUAGUUAGUUUAUUACUAACAGUACAGCUUGUAUACCGUCGUCGUCAGAUUACCUUUAAGAGAUGAGAAGUUGUCGGGUGGAAUGGACCUAGUAUAACUUAGAUUUAGGUGAGUGGGUUGAAUUCUAGAUGUCAGAUCAAGGUGCAGUUUAUAGCAAGGGAGAGAUGGGUUACAAUAGUUAUUCAAUAUACGGAAUUUGUUUUGUAAUAGAUAAAUUGAAGGUGGACUCGGGAGUAAUGUAAUUACAGUAGAGAGGUUUUAUGAAAAUUAGUGCUGAGGUGCGC